Molecule: unclassified non-coding RNA, 220 nt
Filed under: soil metagenome
Description: partial contains 5.8S ribosomal RNA, internal transcribed spacer 2, and large subunit ribosomal RNA
Source: RNAcentral
AACUGAUACUACCUGCGGGAACCUGCGGAAGGAUCAUUAUAGAGUUGUAAAACUCCCUAAACCCAUUGUGAACGUACCUAUUUGUUCCUUCGGCAGGCGGCCCCCGGGGGGGCUUCGCCGUCGACCGGCGCCUGCCGAAGGACAAGCAAAACUCUGCUGCUUUAGUGUUAUUUCUGAGCAACUAAAACAAAUAAGUCACAACUUUCAGCAACGGAUCUCU